GAAAGCUGCUGUAACUACACCCGGAAGGAAGCCUCGAGGUCGACCGAAAAAAUCAGAGAAAGAUGAAGAAGAGGUCAACAUCUCCCAGGAGUCUUCAGAAGAGGAGCAAUGAGAAUAGCCAACUGAUUCUACCUCACAGCUCAGUUUUCCUAUUUCUUGUCAAGUUCUGGGACUGAGGAAGGAACGAAGAAUCCUCACCCCUUUCCUGACCUGAUCUCUCCAACGUUCUCACAGUCAAAACAGCAACACUAGAGUACAGUGUAAAAACAGAUCAACCAUCAUAUUUGAUGUGUAAUGUUUAAUGGGAGAACUUUGUAUUUUGUUUUCCCCUCUCAUUUGACAGGGUUAAGAGUUUAGCCUACCAAUCCAUGUAGUUCUGUAUUAUAUCUGUUUUUUGAUCUAUUUCUCCAGAACACUCCUUAUCGAGAAAGGGGUUUAUAAAUCUUUAUAGUAACCACUUAUUCAUGUUGAAAAGAGUGGACAGCCUAGUUCUUCCUUAUCAAUCCUAAUUUCCGCUUCAGAGAGACCAUAAUACUCUCCAAAAGGGUAACUUGGCACUUGACAGAAAGCUUGCCGUGAAGGAGGAUUGAGAGCAUUGUGCGGAUUUUAUUUUUUCUGGGAAAUGAGUAUAGUGGGAUAAAGGCCACAACAUUAAAAGGAUGAAGACAUUAUUUUUUCCUAUUGUAAGGCAUUUGCAAGAAUAAUUGAGAGGAAGUUAUCCUAUCUUUUUCACCCACUUUCCAGUAGUUCAAGAAUAAUCUAGUCCUUUGCAAUGGGCCUGUGUAUUCUUGUUGACAACAUGCUGCCCUGCCCCAAUCAGCUGCCUUAAGGCCAAAGCAUUUAGGAUUGCAACAGGCUGAGGUGUUUGGGGUGAAUCUGACCUAAAUUCUCAUCUUUUCCCCAGGAACCAGAGAUCUUUUUUUUUUCCUUUUUUUUUUUUCCCUUCUCCAUUCUGUCCCCAGCUGCCAGUGCACAAACGGGAGCGUACAACUGAAAUGUUUUUCACUUGGUGCUCAGUCAUUCUGCACAAAAAGGAUAUUGAACAAGACAUUGCCAUGACCAAGGAAAGCAGGAUGGCAAAAUUCUCUCCCUUCGUGGUCUCUCUGGGUUUUUGUGAUUUUUCUCCAUUGGGAAUAGCACAGUUAGCAGUUGACAGUUGUCUUUCCAAUAUACAUUGUCUGUCAAGGUUUUCAUUUUUCAUUCACAACUACCUCUGGAUACGUUUGAGUUUCAUUCUCUUAAAACAUAGAUUGCUGCUGUUUGUUGCUGCUGUACUGAUUACAAAGUUUUAUUUCAACAGGUUCUGUCUGGUUUUUCUCUGGAACUGACAUUUUACACUAUAGAUAAUUUCGUUUCAGUUGACUUUUAAAACUAUUGUGCUAUUAAAAAGGGAUAAAAGCUUG
Molecule: non-coding RNA, 1403 nt
Organism: Python bivittatus (Burmese python)
Lineage: Eukaryota; Metazoa; Chordata; Lepidosauria; Squamata; Pythonidae
Source: RefSeq, a predicted model, not a curated record